RNAcentral lists this non-coding RNA (30 nucleotides) under Rattus norvegicus (Norway rat). The record is from RNAcentral. Lineage: Eukaryota; Metazoa; Chordata; Mammalia; Rodentia; Muridae.
UNCAAAGCAUCGUGUCCGAGCUUGACAAGU